AUAGAUCCUUGAAAAAUAUAAUCAAUAAAAAGAAAAAGAAGUGAAAAGAAAAAAAUGAUCAUUUUUCCUUUGUUUUCGAUGAUUUUUCUUAUAUUUUUCAUUCAUUUUUUCGGUCAGGACUCCCAACCAAGUGGGAGGUUUGGAGCGGCCAAAUAGAGAAGUUUAGAUGGCGGCCGGGGUUUCCGUCGAUUUUUUCUUCAUUUUUUCAUCCUUAGGAGUCCCAACUGGGUGGGAGGUUUGGAGC
Molecule: long non-coding RNA, 244 nt
Filed under: Elaeis guineensis (African oil palm)
Lineage: Eukaryota; Viridiplantae; Streptophyta; Magnoliopsida; Arecales; Arecaceae
Description: long non-coding RNA (EGUI_LNC002253)
Source: RNAcentral